AUGCAGUCGAGCGAGACCUUCGGGUCUAGCGGCGGACGGGUUAGUAACGCGUGGGAACGUGCCCUUUACUACGGAAUAGUCCCGGGAAACUGGGUUUAAUACCGUAUACGCCCUUCGGGGGAAAGAUUUAUCGGUAAAGGAUCGGCCCGCGUUAGAUUAGAUAGUUGGUGGGGUAAUGGCCUACCAAGUCUACGAUCUAUAGCUGGUUUGAGAGGAUGAUCAGCAACACUGGGACUGAGACACGGCCCAGACUCCUACGGGAGGCAGCAGUGGGGAAUCUUAGACAAUGGGCGCAAGCCUGAUCUAGCCAUGCCGCGUGAGUGACGAAGGCCUUAGGGUCGUAAAGCUCUUUCGCCAGGGAUGAUAAUGACAGUACCUGGUAAAGAAACCCCGGCUAACUCCGUGCCAGCAGCCGCGGUAAU
RNAcentral lists this ribosomal RNA (422 nucleotides) under uncultured Donghicola sp. Its description in RNAcentral is "bacterial SSU rRNA". It matches the Rfam family "Bacterial small subunit ribosomal RNA", at positions 55 to 524 of the family's 1533-position model. The record is from RNAcentral. Lineage: Bacteria; Pseudomonadati; Pseudomonadota; Alphaproteobacteria; Rhodobacterales; Roseobacteraceae.